This 547-nucleotide ribosomal RNA is filed under the name Fistulina pallida. RNAcentral's name for it is "partial small subunit ribosomal RNA". It matches the Rfam family "Bacterial small subunit ribosomal RNA", at positions 356 to 913 of the family's 1533-position model. Lineage: Eukaryota; Fungi; Basidiomycota; Agaricomycetes; Agaricales; Fistulinaceae. The record is from RNAcentral.
CAAGAAUAUUAGCAAUGCUCGCAAGAGUGAACUAGCUAACUGAAAUAAUUAUCUCAGAGUAAAUAUUACCUGUGAACUAUUAUAAUCGAGGGAAAAAUUUGAUAGUACCAUCGAAAUUAGUGUUGUCCAAUCCUGGUGCCAGAAGACUCGGUUAGACCAGAGAACACAAACGUUAAUCAUCAUUAUCAGGCGUAAAGGGUUUGUAGGCUGCUUUUAAUUAAUAGCUUUCGCCUUUGGCGAAAGCAUAAUAUUAAUAAUAAAAAAGCUAGGAUCAUAUAGAGGAAAUUCAAAUAAUACUUGGGGUAGGAUUAAUAACCGCAAAACUCAAGCGGAGUACUAAAAGGUGAAAACUUUUUUUCCACUACUGAUUGACGCUGAGAGACGAAGGUGGUAAUAGAAAAUUGGAUUUGAUACCCAGAUAUCUUCCACAGUCAACGAUGAAUGGUAGUUUGCUAAUCGCUUAAAGUUUGUGAUUAGCCUCUAAGUUAACACGUUAACCAUUCCGCCUUGCGAGUACGGUUGCAAAACUGAAACCCAAAAAAAUUAG